UUAUUAUUAUACUUAUAGCUGUACCAGUUGAUUAUCAUCAUCAUCAUAGAUAAUAAUCUAGACUAGUAUUCUAGAUCUAUAAAUAAUCAUAGUCACUGUGAUAGUGCCCUUUUUAGUCAAUGUAGUCAAGUCAAGAUAGUGGAACGUAAACUCGAAGGUUUAAUACAAUACAGUAUAAGUAGAGUCUAUGAUUAUUAACAAGUAGAACCAUGCCAACCAGUUCUGAUGAUGUACCAGAAUGGCUCAAGGAUCAUACUUAUACUAUUUCUACUCUCUGGGCAGACAUUAAUAAUAUUGGAAUCCAUUCAAUAUUUAUUUUAUGUUUGGAAAUGCAAGAAAAAGGCAUGCAUUCCUGGCAAGUCAAUGAUUGGUUGCACCUCUUAA
Molecule: long non-coding RNA, 384 nt
Organism: Biomphalaria glabrata
Lineage: Eukaryota; Metazoa; Mollusca; Gastropoda; Planorbidae
Exons: 3
Source: RefSeq, a predicted model, not a curated record